UGGGGAAUAUUGCACAAUGGGCGCAAGCCUGAUGCAGCCAUGCCGCGUGUAUGAAGAAGGCCUUCGGGUUGUAAAGAACUUUCAGCGGGGAGGAAGGUGUUGAGGUUAAUAACCUCAGCAAUUGACGUUACCCGCAGAAGAAGCACCGGCUAACUCCGUGCCAGCAGCCGCGGUAAUACGGAGGGUGCAAGCGAUAAUCGGAAUGACUGGGCGUAAAGCGCACGCAGGCGGUCUGUCAAGUCGGAUGUGAAAUCCCCGGGCUCAACCUGGGAACUGCAUUCGAAACUGGCAGGCUAGAGUCUUGUAGAGGGGGGUAGAAUUCCAGGUGUAGCGGUGAAAUGCGUAGAGAUCUGGAGGAAUACCGGUGGCGAAGGCGGCCCCCUGGACAAAGACUGACGCUCAGGUGCGAAAGCGUGGGGAGCAAACA
This 427-nucleotide ribosomal RNA is filed under the name uncultured bacterium. Its description in RNAcentral is "partial 16S ribosomal RNA". It matches the Rfam family "Bacterial small subunit ribosomal RNA", at positions 355 to 774 of the family's 1533-position model. The record is from RNAcentral.